UCCCUGGUAGCUCAGAUGCUAAAGCGUCUGCCUAGAAUCCAGAAGACCCGGGUUCGAUUCCUGGGUUGGGAA
Bos taurus (domestic cattle) is the source of this 72-nucleotide non-coding RNA. NCBI's taxonomy places the organism in Eukaryota, Metazoa, Chordata, Mammalia, Artiodactyla, Bovidae. The record is from Rfam.